RNAcentral lists this ribosomal RNA (468 nucleotides) under uncultured bacterium. Its description in RNAcentral is "partial 16S ribosomal RNA". It matches the Rfam family "Bacterial small subunit ribosomal RNA", at positions 28 to 507 of the family's 1533-position model. The record is from RNAcentral.
GACGAACGCUGGCGGCGUGCUUAACACAUGCAAGUCGAACGGAAAGGCCCUGCUUUUGUGGGGUGCUCGAGUGGCGAACGGGUGAGUAACACGUGAGUAACCUGCCCUUGACUUUGGGAUAACUUCAGGAAACUGGGGCUAAUACCGGAUAGGAGCUCCUGCUGCAUGGUGGGGGUUGGAAAUUUUCGGCGGUUGGGGAUGGACUCGCGGCUUAUCAGCUUGUUGGUGGGGUAGUGGCUUACCAAGGCUUUGACGGGUAGCCGGCCUGAGAGGGUGACCGGCCACAUUGGGACUGAGAUACGGCCCAGACUCCAACGGGAGGCAGCAGUGGGGAAUAUUGCACAAUGGGCGGAAGCCUGAUGCAGCAACGCCGCGUGCGGGAUGACGGCCUUCGGGUUGUAAACCGCUUUCGCCUGUGACGAAGCGUGAGUGACGGUAAUGGGUAAAGAAGCACCGGCUAACUACGUG